RNAcentral lists this ribosomal RNA (414 nucleotides) under uncultured bacterium. RNAcentral's name for it is "bacterial SSU rRNA". It matches the Rfam family "Bacterial small subunit ribosomal RNA", at positions 505 to 916 of the family's 1533-position model. The record is from RNAcentral.
GUGCCAGCAGCCGCGGUAAUACGUAGGGGGCGAGCGUUGUCCGGAUUUACUGGGCGUAAAGAGCGCGUAGGUGGUUGGGUAGGUUGGGGGUGAAAGGUGCGGGCUUAACCCGCAUAGGUCUCCCAAGACCGCUCGACUGUGAGGGCAGUAGAGGACGGUGGAAUUCCGGGUGUAGUGGUGAAAUGCGUAGAGAUCCGGAGGAACACCGGUGGCGAAGGCGGCCGUCUGGGCUGUCCCUGACACUGAGGCGCGAAAGCGUGGGGAGCGAACUGAAUUAGAUACUCAGGUAGUCCACGCCCUCAACGAUGGACACUAGGUGUGGGGGGUAUCGACCCCUCCCGUGCCGGAGCUAACGCAGUAAGUGUCCCGCCUGGGGAGUACGGCCGCAAGGCUAAAACUCAAAGGAAUUGACGG